Molecule: ribosomal RNA, 253 nt
Filed under: uncultured bacterium
Lineage: Bacteria
Description: partial 16S ribosomal RNA
Rfam family: Bacterial small subunit ribosomal RNA
Source: RNAcentral
UACGUAGGGUGCAGGCGUUAAUCGGAAUUACUGGGCGUAAAGCGUGCGCAGGCGGUUUCUUAAGUCAGAUGUGAAAGCCCCGGGCUUAACCUGGGGACUGCGUUUGAAACUGGGAGACUUGAGUGUGGCAGAGGGGGGUGGAAUUCCACGUGUAGCAGUGAAAUGCGUAGAUAUGUGGAGGAACACCGAUGGCGAAGGCAGCCCCCUGGGUUAACACUGACGCUCAUGCACGAAAGCGUGGGGAGCAAACAGG